GGAAAGUAAGGAUCAAAGACAUGCUGUAUCACAGUUGAUGGCUUUCAAUAGGUAUCUCAGCAUGAAACUGCCUUCACCUCAGAAAUACCCAGCCUCAAAAGCAUAUUCAAGCAGUUCUUCAUGACUCCCGUAAAUCAAGCUCUCAUCAUUGAGCCAUGGGAGCAAAUGAAUAUUCUCUUUUAAAGAGUGAACAAGCAAAUGCUUGGAAUAAAAAGAAAGAAUUACAUUGAAUCUUUUAAAAGACUCAGUUUUCCAACCUGGGCUGGCUAAGCAGCAGCCUGAAGGAACUAAGACAGCCCUGCAUGACCUGGCCGCUGCCUGCUAUUCCAGGAUUCUCUCCUGCAGCUUCUCGCCUCGUUUAUUCUCUAGUAAUGCAGAAUAGCAUGUGGCUCUACCCAUGUUCU
Molecule: long non-coding RNA, 404 nt
Filed under: Homo sapiens (human)
Lineage: Eukaryota; Metazoa; Chordata; Mammalia; Primates; Hominidae
Description: HSALNT0364039
Source: RNAcentral